This 719-nucleotide ribosomal RNA is filed under the name uncultured bacterium. RNAcentral's name for it is "bacterial SSU rRNA". It matches the Rfam family "Bacterial small subunit ribosomal RNA", at positions 104 to 810 of the family's 1533-position model. The record is from RNAcentral.
GGGUGAGUAACACGUGGGUAACCUGCCCAAGAGACUGGGAUAACACCUGGAAACAGAUGCUAAUACCGGAUAACAACACUAGACGCAUGUCUAGAGUUUGAAAGAUGGUUCUGCUAUCACUCUUGGAUGGACCUGCGGUGCAUUAGCUAGUUGGUAAGGUAACGGCUUACCAAGGCAAUGAUGCAUAGCCGAGUUGAGAGACUGAUCGGCCACAUUGGGACUGAGACACGGCCCAAACUCCUACGGGAGGCAGCAGUAGGGAAUCUUCCACAAUGGACGAAAGUCUGAUGGAGCAACGCCGCGUGAGUGAAGAAGGGUUUCGGCUCGUAAAGCUCUGUUGGUAGUGAAGAAAGAUAGAGGUAGUAACUGGCCUUUAUUUGACGGUAAUUACUUAGAAAGUCACGGCUAACUACGUGCCAGCAGCCGCGGUAAUACGUAGGUGGCAAGCGUUGUCCGGAUUUAUUGGGUGUAAAGCGAGUGCAGGCGGUUCAAUAAGUCUGAUGUGAAAGCCUUCGGCUCAACCGGAGAAUUGCAUCAGAAACUGUUGAACUUGAGUACAGAAGAGGAGAGUGGAACUCCAUGUGUAGCGGUGGAAUGCGUAGAUAUAUGGAAGAACACCAGUGGCGAAGGCGGCUCUCUGGUCUGCAACUGACGCUGAGGCUCGAAAGCAUGGGUAGCGAACAGGAUUAGAUACCCUGGUAGUCCAUGCCGUAAACGAU